UGGAUCACCUCCUAACAGGGAGACAAACAACGAUUUUGAUGCCUGAGUGUUUUUAUUCUUAGGCCGAAAUCCUGUCACCUUAGGUCGAUCGGUACCUCAGAUUUGAAAUCAAGAUAAUGCAGCAAUGUGUCGUGCUUGAUGGAGAUUUUCAGUUCCUAAACUUUGUCUAGGUCACACCCCAAAAGGGAUGAGACUCCUGGGCCAUUAGCUCAGGUGGUUAGAGCGCACCUCUGAUAAGGGUGAGGUCCCUGGUUCAAGUCCAGGAUGGCCCAUUCGGUGUUGGGGGUUUAGCUCAGUUGGUAGAGCGCCUGCUUUGCAAGCAGGAUGUCAGGAGCUCGAGUCUCCUAACCUCCACUGACCGAACUUUAUCCCCAUCUCCAAAUUGUUGGAGUUGAGCUCGAUUGGAGUGUGAUUUAGAUGUGUCCGCUGGAUGACCCCAGCUUCCUGUCAUUCCAAGUUUAAAAGUGAAAGCUUUGAAUUUGGUUGAUAAGAUGCUGGGCUCGAACUGAGCAAUCAGUUUGAAGUUCUAGCAGAACCUUGACAACUGCAUAGGUGAAGUCUGGAAAAACAAAGCAUCUUACAGAUGCAUUGUUUUGAGUCUAAUUUUUCGAAAGAGAGAUUAGAACCAGAACAAUGAAAAUUCUUUUGAGCAAGAGCCGAGACUCUUGAAUGUUCUUUGAUUCGUGUCGAGCGAAUCAGAGUUUGAUCUUGUUUUUAGUAAUAAAAACUUGAGAAUCUGCUUUCAACGGCGGUAAGCGUUCAAGAGGUUAAUUGGUCAAGCUACAAAGGGCUCACGGCGGAUACCUUGGCACACAGAGGCGAUGAAGG
RNAcentral lists this transfer RNA (828 nucleotides) under uncultured Synechococcus sp. Its description in RNAcentral is "partial contains 16S ribosomal RNA, 16S-23S ribosomal RNA intergenic spacer, and 23S ribosomal RNA". The stretch from base 282 to 354 matches the Rfam family "tRNA". The record is from RNAcentral. Lineage: Bacteria; Bacillati; Cyanobacteriota; Cyanophyceae; Synechococcales; Synechococcaceae.